AGUGAACGCUGGCGGUAGGCCUAACACAUGCAAGUCGAACGGCAGCACAGUAAGAGCUUGCUCUUACGGGUGGCGAGUGGCGGACGGGUGAGGAAUACAUCGGAAUCUACUUUUUCGUGGGGGAUAACGUAGGGAAACUUACGCUAAUACCGCAUACGACCUACGGGUGAAAGCAGGGGAUCUUCGGACCUUGCGCGAUUGAAUGAGCCGAUGUCGGAUUAGCUAGUUGGCGGGGUAAAGGCCCACCAAGGCGACGAUCCGUAGCUGGUCUGAGAGGAUGAUCCGCCACACGGGAACUGAGACACGGUCCAGACGCCAACGGGAGGCAGCAGUGGGGAAUAUUGGACAAAGGGCGGAAGCCUGAUCCAGCCAUACCGCGGGGGUGAAGAAGGCCUUCGGGUUGUAAAGCCCUUUUGUUGGGAAAGAAAAGCAGCAGGUUAAUACCCCGCUGUUCUGACGGUACCCAAAGAAUAAGCACCGGCGAACUUCGU
RNAcentral lists this ribosomal RNA (491 nucleotides) under uncultured bacterium. Its description in RNAcentral is "partial 16S ribosomal RNA". It matches the Rfam family "Bacterial small subunit ribosomal RNA", at positions 29 to 506 of the family's 1533-position model. The record is from RNAcentral.